RNAcentral lists this transfer RNA (77 nucleotides) under Treponema sp. RNAcentral's name for it is "tRNA-Ile". It matches the Rfam family "tRNA". Rfam says of the family: Transfer RNA (tRNA) molecules are approximately 80 nucleotides in length. Their secondary structure includes four short double-helical elements and three loops (D, anti-codon, and T loops). The record is from RNAcentral. Lineage: Bacteria; Pseudomonadati; Spirochaetota; Spirochaetia; Treponematales; Treponemataceae. RNAcentral also lists the same sequence under 3 other names.
GGGAAUUUAGCUCAGUUGGUUAGAGCUACCCGCUCAUAACGGGUCGGUCGUUGGUUCGAGUCCAUCAAUUCCCACCA